Molecule: long non-coding RNA, 599 nt
Organism: Mytilus trossulus (common blue mussel)
Lineage: Eukaryota; Metazoa; Mollusca; Bivalvia; Mytilida; Mytilidae
Exons: 4
Source: RefSeq, a predicted model, not a curated record
AUUGUUAAUGUUAUCUAAAGACUACAGUUUAAAGAGAGAAGCUUUUGGUAAUCGACUGUACAAUUAUCCUCUACAUGUCCAGACACUGGCCAGAUUGGAGACUGAAGUGAGAGCUGCCACCUUGUUUGUUUUCCAAGCUGUGUUACUGUUAAGUAAACAAGAGAGUGGUAAAGCUACUGAAGAUGAAUUACACCUACUUAGAUUACUCACCCCCUGAUCAAGUUAUACACAGGUAAACAGGCUAUGACAGUAAGUUCAGAAGGUUUGGAAAGUUUUGGAGGUCAAGGUUAUAUAGAGGAGACUGGGUUACCAAAUUUUCUUAGAGACGCUCAGGUAUUAACUAUAUGGGAAGGAACAACAAAUAUUCUGUCUUUAGAUGUGUUAAGAUGUAUCAGUAAAUCAAAUGGUAAGGCAUUGAUAUCUUUGAAAAAUUAUGUUGACAAUAAACUGUCCAGUACACCUUCAGAGUUAUCAAAAGAAGCAGAGAAGUUACAAAUGGCUUUGAAAUCAGUUUUGCAAUUUGUUACAAAAAAUCAGGAAAAUGUGGAUGUUUUGAGUUUUGCUGCCAGAGAUUUGUCUUAUAGUUUAUCUAGAAUAUA